GCUGCGGAGGGAUCAUUA
This 18-nucleotide ribosomal RNA is filed under the name Teratosphaeria epicoccoides. RNAcentral's name for it is "partial 18S ribosomal RNA". The record is from RNAcentral. Lineage: Eukaryota; Fungi; Ascomycota; Dothideomycetes; Mycosphaerellales; Teratosphaeriaceae.